RNAcentral lists this unclassified non-coding RNA (223 nucleotides) under Hevea brasiliensis (rubber tree). Lineage: Eukaryota; Viridiplantae; Streptophyta; Magnoliopsida; Malpighiales; Euphorbiaceae. The record is from RNAcentral.
AAUUUUGAAAGCAUAGGUCACGGUCAUGUGCUAUUCAUGAUAUAGAAACUAAUGCUGGAAACCAAUAGCAGAGGAAGAUCAAUAAGUUACUAUUCCUUGUGAGAAAUUAGUUCAACCAAUCUAUAAUCUCUCUCUCUUUUUUAUUCUGUAACUGCAAAUUUGCAUGAAAAAGCCAAAACGGCAUCAGAAUGGAGAUGGACCAAAGGCUCUCAGGAAUAACAUG